This 387-nucleotide ribosomal RNA is filed under the name Salmonella enterica. RNAcentral's name for it is "bacterial SSU rRNA". It matches the Rfam family "Bacterial small subunit ribosomal RNA", at positions 860 to 1247 of the family's 1533-position model. The record is from RNAcentral. Lineage: Bacteria; Pseudomonadati; Pseudomonadota; Gammaproteobacteria; Enterobacterales; Enterobacteriaceae.
UUAAGUAGACCGCCUGGGGAGUACGGCCGCAAGGUUAAAACUCAAAUGAAUUGACGGGGGCCCGCACAAGCGGUGGAGCAUGUGGUUUAAUUCGAUGCAACGCGAAGAACCUUACCUGGUCUUGACAUCCACAGAAGUUUGCAGAGAUGCGAAUGUGCCUUCGGGAACUGUGAGACAGGUGCUGCAUGGCUGUCGUCAGCUCGUGUUGUGAAAUGUUGGGUUAAGUCCCGCAACGAGCGCAACCCUUAUCCUUUGUUGCCAGCGAUUAGGUCGGGAACUCAAAGGAGACUGCCAGUGAUAAACUGGAGGAAGGUGGGGAUGACGUCAAGUCAUCAUGGCCCUUACGACCAGGGCUACACACGUGCUACAAUGGCGCAUACAAAGAGA